UUGGCUCGCGUUACACUGUGGACCAAUCACGUCCUCUCAAAAUUCCGGUUGACAGCAGCUGGGCGGGGCAACCAACCAAGCAAAAAAAGCUGAACUUGAAAAAGCUGAGAGGAGGAAGGGGUCGCGAUAAGGCGUGUUUAAUGAGAAAGGUAUGUGCAUAGUAAGAAUUGGUAUGACCAUAUAAGUACCAUUCACUCUCAAGAGGGGUCUGCAUCAUCCAAAUUCUUCCCCCCUCCCCCAUAUGUGUCAACAGGGUCUGGUCUGACUGACCUCAAUCUUCAGUCAAAACAAGUACUGUACCUGUCAUGAGUUCCUUCUGCUGUGGAAACCCCAUGAGUGUUACGUACAACAUCUAUUCCACCUGCUUUGGACCACCUGUCAUGUAAACAGGUUUGUGUCAGUCAAACAGAGUUCAAUCCAAAUGCGAACCAGAUGAAGAUGUUGCAACGUCCUGGGACGAACGACAAGUUGUGACCCGCGUCGGUCAGAAAGUGCCAUUUCUGAACACACGGCUACUCUAAUGCUAUAUUAUUCAGUGACGUUAUGUUUGAGGUGGAGCCUGAGGUAUGACUGGCAUUUCCUGGCCUAUGCUGGAAAAUCAAAUUUCCUGAAUAAUGUGUGAUUUACGUUUUCUCUGAGUCAUCCUGGAGUGGAACGUAUCGGUGUUUUCGUGUCUGUUGAGUUACGGGGCAUCCCAUGUAUGUUGAGUAGCAGAAUACUGAACAUCCAGCAUGACUGGACUGCCUGGAAAUAUCAAUAAAUCGCACUCUGCUCUUUGCUGGGAUGGGUGGGAAGUAUUUGACAUGUCAGCUGGUGGGGUCAAAGGUUAGCUUGUUAUAUUGCUUGAGCUGGACCAGGCAGGGGAAAGGGACAAAUGAGGAGGAGUGGAAGAAAACACUUCUCAACAGAAUAAGCAACUUUGACACGGAAGCUAACUUGAAAAAAA
Molecule: long non-coding RNA, 946 nt
Organism: Hippocampus comes (tiger tail seahorse)
Lineage: Eukaryota; Metazoa; Chordata; Actinopteri; Syngnathiformes; Syngnathidae
Exons: 2
Source: RefSeq, a predicted model, not a curated record